UUUGUGUUGGUUAAAACACGUUCUUUUCUUUUCCUCCUCAACAUAAGAACAACACCCUUCAUCUUCAACAAAGCUGUGGUGGCUUCUCUCUUCCUCUGAUUGUCUUCCUCUUCUUCUCCGAUCAAUCACCGGUGACUCAAACCCUUUUUCGAUUCCGUUCUCUUUCUCUGACGUGAAUCUCCGUUCGUCCUCUUCUUCUCUCUGAUUCGAAGCUUUCUCCGAUUUCGUGGAGAUGAUGUUGCUGGGUUUGAAAGCUGAACGCCGGUAAUGAAACUGUUUGCGAGUUGAAAUUGUUGUUGUGGUAUUGAACAUUUGUGGUUGCUUCGUUUUUGUCCGUUGAUACGAUCUCCUUGUUCUAUGAGCCAUUCAAUUUCCUCUGUUCAAUCCCAGGUUUAAGCCCCAUGGUGAUAAAAUUGGUAUAAAGCUGUUGAAGAUAGUUUUUAAGGAUCGAAGCAAGUCAAAGAGGCCCUUUAGUUUUCCUUUGCCUGUUUUGAUGAUAUUUUAUAUGUGAAUUCAAGGAGAGGUUCAAGAAGGAAACUAAAAACAACAAACCUGUUAUUGUGUUGUGCAGCUGAGUACAAGCUUCGUUGUGGAGGUUUCACAAUUUCAAAGAAUCAAAACCAUUAGUCAUCAAUUCAUUGAAACUCAAAAGUGGACAGUUUUACAACACUCACUUGAUCGGAGCUCAUAAGUGAACAACUUUACACCACAUAAGAAAUAUUGAGUUUUCAAUUAUAUCAUCACAUUUUUAUAUGUGUGGUAUUUGCUGUGAGGCUAAGUAGAGAAAGGAAGGAAAUGUCUCAAGUUGGAUUUUGGGGAAAUUUCUUA
Molecule: long non-coding RNA, 828 nt
Organism: Vicia villosa (hairy vetch)
Lineage: Eukaryota; Viridiplantae; Streptophyta; Magnoliopsida; Fabales; Fabaceae
Exons: 5
Source: RefSeq, a predicted model, not a curated record